CCCUUAGAUGUUCUGGGCUGCACGCGCGCUACACUGAUGCGUACAACAAGUUUCUUCCUGGUCCGAGAGGAUUGGGUAAUCUUGAAACACGCAUCGUGAUGGGGAUAGAUUAUUGCAAUUAUUAAUCUUCAACGAGGAAUUCCUAGUAAGCGCAAGUCAUCAGCUUGCGUUGAUUACGUCCCUGCCCUUUGUACACACCGCCCGUCGCUCCUACCGAUUGGAUGAUCCGGUGAAUUAUUCGGACAGUUUCGCUCUUCACGGAGUCGAGACUGGAAGUCUUGUGAACCUUAUCAUCUAGAGGAAGGAGAAGUCGUAACA
Molecule: ribosomal RNA, 318 nt
Filed under: uncultured eukaryote
Lineage: Eukaryota
Description: partial 18S ribosomal RNA
Rfam family: Eukaryotic small subunit ribosomal RNA
Source: RNAcentral